UCAGAAAAGUUACCACAGGGAUAAC
RNAcentral lists this non-coding RNA (25 nucleotides) under Arabidopsis thaliana (thale cress). The record is from RNAcentral. RNAcentral also lists the same sequence under 1 other name. Lineage: Eukaryota; Viridiplantae; Streptophyta; Magnoliopsida; Brassicales; Brassicaceae.